GAUGAAGAACGUAGUGAAAUGCGAUACGUAAUGUGAAUUGCAAAUUCAGUGAAUCAUCGAGUCUUUGAACGCACAUUGCGCCCCCUGGUAUUCCGGGGGGCAUGCCUGUCCGAGCGUCAUCGCUGCCCUCAAGCACGGCUUGUGUGUUGGGCCCCGUCCUCCGAUCCCGGGGGACGGGCCCGAAAGGCAGCGGCGGCACCGCGUCCGGUCCUCGAGCGUAUGGGGCUUUGUCACCCGCUCUGUAGGCCCGGCCGGCGCUUGCCGAUCAACCCAAAUUUUUAUCCAGGUUGACCUCGGAUCAGGUAGGGAUACCCGCUGAACUUAAGCAUAUCAAUAAGCGGAGGA
This 345-nucleotide unclassified non-coding RNA is filed under the name soil metagenome. Its description in RNAcentral is "partial contains 5.8S ribosomal RNA, internal transcribed spacer 2, and large subunit ribosomal RNA". The stretch from base 1 to 119 matches the Rfam family "5.8S ribosomal RNA", at positions 35 to 154 of the family's 154-position model. The record is from RNAcentral.